AAGAAUGCAUAAAUUGAUAAAUGGAGUGACGAAAGAAGAUAGAUUAAGGAAUAAGUACAUAAGAGGUAGCUUAGGUGUGGCUUCUAUAGUAGACAAAAUGAGAGAAAAUAAACUCAAAUAGUCUUGGUAUGUCAUGAGAAGAGAGGAAACGGAAGCUGUAAGAAUUAUGAUGAAAAUAAAAGUUGAUGGAAAGGAGAGGAGAGAAAGACCAAAAACGAUGUAGUUGGAAUGAUGUGUGAAUGGCAUGUGUAUGCAAGGAUGACAUGUGGGAUCGAGUCAAGUGGAAAUAUUGGACAAUGGUGACAGACCCUAAAUAGUUGGAAUAAAGGCGAAGUAGAAAAAGAAGUAAUAAUUUAUAAUUAUUAUGCUCCUAUAUUAUAUCUUUGUAAUAGAAAUCUAUCGAUUCAACAUGAUAUAUUAACUGCAUCAUCUGGGGUUACUACUCUUUCAACUGAAUCUUCAAAGUACAACAGGUGAUAAUAACUACUUUUUUAUAAAACAAUUGUUAUAAAUCAUGGUUUUUCUACCUUAUAGAGUGUCCGUUAUAAGAAGGUGGUUUUAAUGUAUAUUAUGGCAGCUCUUAAAUGGAUCAUGGUUGAACUUUUAUGAAUGCACCCCCUAAGAUAGNAAUUUGAAAAUAUCAAAACCAAUAAUGCUGUAAGCUUUUCCCAUAUUUUCUACAUUUUUUCCCAAUUGUAAUGAAAACUGUUUAGAAAAUUAAAAAAUACCUCCUCUAUGUACUAACUACAUUUAACUAAUUUUGGAUCAAAAUAAAACAAAAAGAAAUUUCUUUUAAUUUUUUGAUUGGAACAAGAUUUCUAAUAGUUGCUGAUAGUCGCAGAAAAAAAAAAAUUUAAAAGAAAAUAUACAUGUAUAAAACCAAUAUGGUCUUCACUCUGCUCAGAAUCUAAAAGUAUGUAGUUAUUUUCUAAUUUUCAGUAGGGAAGUAACCUUAUAAAAUUAUCAAAAUAAAAUGUAAAUACAUUUUUAAAUUGCUUUUAUAUUUUUAUUUAUAAUAAAUAACUAACUGUUUAAUAAAUAUUUGAGAUGAAGGUGAAGGAGAAGAAGAGAACGUUAGUUUAAUGAGUUAGCGUAUUUGAGAAACUUGCUUAGCUUUGCUAUCUAUCCUGUUUUCAAGCUCACCAUCAAAAUAUAAUUAUUUUAAUAAAAUAAAUUUUGAAAUUGAAUAUUAACGUGUAUGAUGGAGAGUCCAAAAAAAAAAAAAAAGGUACAAAUGAAAUAUGAAUUCUUUUUUUUAUACCCACACAUUUUACUCGAGAUGGUAUGUAUUUUAUUGAAGUACACUUAAAUAUUUAAAUAUUUGGACCCGACAGCUGACAUACGCUAGUCAAUCUGUUCAAGAAUUCAUUGAGAUUAUAAUAUUUGUUGUUUCGGAUUUGAAGCGUAGCGAGGAAUCUAUCGGUUUUAUUAUGGUGUAUUACUUUUUGACCAGAAAUCUUGCUCCAAUUGAAAAAUGACAAGAUCCUUUUUUUGAAUUUCGUAUUUUGUUGGUGCAUUUUUUAAUUUUCCAAUCAGUUUUCAUAAUAAUUAAGAAAACCCAAAAACUAUGUAAAAUGUAAACUCACAAAUGUAUUAAAUGAUUAGUACAUUAAUCGUAGUUUGUGGCAGAGAAAAUGAGUUAUAAAAUUACUCUAUUUUAUAAUUUUAAUUUAGUUUACAAUGAUUUUAUAAAUAAUAAUGUUACUUGUUAAGUAUAUAACUAAAAUAUUAUUACAAUAUUCUGUAAUAUAAAAUAAUAAAAAUUGAUAUUGUUGGAGUUAAUGUUAAAAUAGUUUAAACAAAUUUAAAAUAGGAAAAUCAUAAGAAAACUGGGAAAAUUGGUACAACAUUUAAUACAUUUUACUUAAGAAAAUAUAUAAAGCCUAUUUAAUUAUUUUACUAUAAAAUGACAUAUAUAUUGUUGACAAUGCAUUACUAUUAACUUAACUCCGCUCAGAAUCGUUUUUUUUGGAAGCAAUAAAACGUGGUGUAAUAAAGUGAAUUGUUGCUUAUAGAUAUACAUUAAAUUCCUGUUUGUAUCUUACCUUCCCAACUUUCCAUCUACACUAGUGGCUGUACCCGUUUCCAUUAUCUUAUCUUUCUAUUUUUAUCUUUUAAUUGUUAUAAUUUAAAUUUUCUGAUUAACCAUAUUAAUUUAAUCAUAAUUAAGGUAUUCAUAUAAAAUGUUUUACUUCUAAGCCAAUCGAGUGUUAUAAAUCAAACUGAUGAGAGAAUUUAUUUUACUCAACUCAGAAAUGAUCUUAUUUGUUAAAAGGAACUCAAGGAAUUGAAAAGCUGAUAUUACAAAAUCAUCAGAUCAAAAGUACCAAAAGUAGCAAAAAAACUACCUAAGUUUAUGUGCAUAAAAAUAAAAUAUCAGAGGAAUUAAAAACUAAUGAAGAAAUAUAAAUGAUUUAUUGGUUUAGUUUAUUCAUUAUCUAUUUGUAUCACACCUUAGUUUUAUUAACUUCUGUGUGCUAAUAAUCAGAUUAUUAAAAUUAAAUUCUAUAUAGCAUUAUGUAGGGUUUUGACUUGUUGAAUAAAAUUAAAAUAAUCAUAUAAAAUUUUAAAGGUAUUGAAAAAUGUACAGGUUUUAUUAUUCAUGUGUUAAACUACUUAACUAUACAAGUAAUUGGUAUUUAUCUAAUAUCAUAACCUAUACAUACCCUAUUAUAAAUUAUAUAUGCUAUUAAUGUCAGUUUUUGUUAUAUUAAUUUCAGGAAUUCUGUACAAAUGUCGCAUCAAUUUUAAAUAAAAUUACAAGUGAUAACAUUAUUACUUUAGCUGAACAUUUUAGUGCAUUAACCAAUUGAUAUUGUUGAACUACU
RNAcentral lists this long non-coding RNA (2828 nucleotides) under Cinara cedri. Lineage: Eukaryota; Metazoa; Arthropoda; Insecta; Hemiptera; Aphididae. The record is from RNAcentral.